RNAcentral lists this ribosomal RNA (245 nucleotides) under uncultured Actinomyces sp. Its description in RNAcentral is "partial 16S ribosomal RNA". It matches the Rfam family "Bacterial small subunit ribosomal RNA", at positions 524 to 768 of the family's 1533-position model. The record is from RNAcentral. Lineage: Bacteria; Bacillati; Actinomycetota; Actinomycetes; Actinomycetales; Actinomycetaceae.
UACGUAGGGCGCAAGCGUUGUCCGGAAUUAUUGGGCGUAAAGAGCUCGUAGGCGGCUGGUCGCGUCUGUCGUGAAAACUUCCGGCUCAACCGGGGGCUUGCGGUGGGUACGGGCCGGCUAGAGUGCGGUAGGGGUAACUGGAACUCCUGGUGUAGCGGUGGAAUGCGCAGAUAUCAGGAAGAACACCGAUGGCGAAGGCAGGUUACUGGGCCGUUACUGACGCUGAGGAGCGAAAGCGUGGGGAG